UCGGCUAGGGGGCCAUCCCGGCUUACCAACCCGAUGCAAACUGCGAAUACCGGAGAAUGUUAUCACGGGAGACACACGGCGGGUGCUAACGUCCGUCGUGAAGAGGGAAACAACCCAGACCGCCAGCUAAGGUCCCAAAGUCAUGGUUAAGUGGGAAACGAUGUGGGAAGGCCCAGACAGCCAGGAUGUUGGCUUAGAAGCAGCCAUCAUUUAAAGAAAGCGUAAUAGCUCACUGGUCGAGUCGGCCUGCGCGGAAGAUGUAACGGGGCUAAACCAUGCACCGAAGCUGCGGCAGCGACACUCAGGUGUUGUUGGGUAGGGGAGCGUUCUGUAAGCCUGUGAAGGUGGCCUGUGAGGGUUGCUGGAGGUAUCAGAAGUGCGAAUGCUGACAUAAGUAACGAUAAAGCGGGUGAAAAGCCCGCUCGCCGGAAGACCAAGGGUUCCUGUCCAACGUUAAUCGGGGCAGGGUGAGUCGACCCCUAAGGCGAGGCCGAAAGGCGUAGUCGAUGGGAAACAGGUUAAUAUUCCUGUACUUGGUGUUACUGCGAAGGGGGGACGGAGAAGGCUAUGUUGGCCGGGCGACGGUUGUCCCGGUUUAAGCGUGUAGGUGUGUGUUCCAGGUAAAUCCGGUUCACUUUAACACUGAGGCGUGAUGACGAGGCACUACGGUGCUGAAGCAACAAAUGCCCUGCUUCCAGGAAAAGCCUCUAAGCAUCAGGUAACAUCAAAUCGUACCCCAAACCGACACAGGUGGUCAGGUAGAGAAUACCAAGGCGCUUGAGAGAACUCGGGUGAAGGAACUA
Molecule: ribosomal RNA, 803 nt
Filed under: Salmonella enterica subsp. enterica serovar Paratyphi B
Lineage: Bacteria; Pseudomonadati; Pseudomonadota; Gammaproteobacteria; Enterobacterales; Enterobacteriaceae
Description: bacterial LSU rRNA
Rfam family: Bacterial large subunit ribosomal RNA
Source: RNAcentral